Molecule: ribosomal RNA, 462 nt
Filed under: Triticum aestivum (bread wheat)
Lineage: Eukaryota; Viridiplantae; Streptophyta; Magnoliopsida; Poales; Poaceae
Description: partial small subunit ribosomal RNA
Source: RNAcentral
AUGUCCGGAGCGGGAGGCAGGUGGAUGAUCUCCUCCGUCACGGAGGGACACAUCAAGAAGCUGAGGAGAACCGGAUACCUGCCCGACGACAUCGCGCACCGGCUCCCAGAUGAGGGGCAGCUCAUCCCCACCCCCAGGCCCCACGAGAGGGUAGUGUUCCUUACCCAUUUCCUCCGCGGACUGGGAUUCCCUCUCCACCCACUCGUCCGGGGGCUCAUGUUCUACUACGGUCUGGAUUUCCACGAUCUGGCCCCGAACUUCAUCCUCAAUAUCUCGGCGUUUAUCAUCGUGUGCGAGGCCUUCCUCCGCGUCAAGCCCCACUUCGGCUUAUGGCUGAAAACCUUUAAUGUCAAGCCGAAGGUAGUGAGCGGCCGCCAGGCGGAGUGCAGACGCGCCAUGGUGGGCAAGAUGCCCAACGUCACAUGGCUCGAGGGUUCCUUCGUGGAGACCAUAAAGGGGUGA